This 465-nucleotide ribosomal RNA is filed under the name uncultured bacterium. RNAcentral describes it as "partial 16S ribosomal RNA". It matches the Rfam family "Bacterial small subunit ribosomal RNA", at positions 338 to 795 of the family's 1533-position model. The record is from RNAcentral.
CCUACGGGAGGCAGCAGUGGGGAAUAUUGCGCAAUGGGCGAAAGCCUGACGCAGCGACGCCGCGUGAGGGAUGAAGGUCUUCGGAUCGUAAACCUCUGUCAGCAGGGAAGAACGGUCACUGUGCUAAUCAGCAGUGAAUUGACGGUACCUGGAAAGGAAGCACCGGCUAACUCCGUGCCAGCAGCCGCGGUAAUACGGAGGGUGCGAGCGUUAAUCGGAAUUACUGGGCGUAAAGCGCUCGUAGGCGGUAUGUCAAGUCAAGGGUGAAAUCCCCGCGCUCAACGGGGGAACUGCCUUUGAAACUGGGAAACUGGAGUGUGUGAGAGGAUAGUGGAAUUCCAGGUGUAGGAGUGAAAUGCGUAGAUAUCUGGAGGAACAUCAGUGGCGAAGGCGACUAUCUGGCACAUAACUGACGCUGAGGAGCGAAAGCGUGGGGAGCAAACAGGAUUAGAUACCCGGGUAGUC